GUGUUCGCUUCAGCAGCCCAUAUACUAAAACCAGAAUGAUACAGAGAUGAUUCACAUGGCCCCCGUGCAAGGAGACACAAAUCGUGACGCGUUCCCUAUCUUU
Perognathus longimembris pacificus (Pacific pocket mouse) is the source of this 103-nucleotide small nuclear RNA. Lineage: Eukaryota; Metazoa; Chordata; Mammalia; Rodentia; Heteromyidae. The record is from RefSeq and is a predicted model, not a curated record.